This 131-nucleotide small RNA is filed under the name Citrobacter freundii. Its description in RNAcentral is "RtT sRNA". It matches the Rfam family "RtT RNA". From Rfam's summary of the family: This family represents a bacterial cis-regulatory element known as RtT RNA. The exact function of RtT is unknown although it is thought that it may be involved in changing the cellular response in relation to amino acid starvation. The record is from RNAcentral. Lineage: Bacteria; Pseudomonadati; Pseudomonadota; Gammaproteobacteria; Enterobacterales; Enterobacteriaceae. RNAcentral also lists the same sequence under 2 other names.
UAUUCUGCCCAUGCGGGAAGGAUGAGAAGCUUCGACUAAGGUUCGAUUCGAGCGUAGCGAGAAAGCGUUGCCAAAGGCAACGACCCGAAGGGCGAAGCGCGCAGCGCUGAGUAAUCCUUCCCCCACCACCA